GUGGCAGCCGCCGCGGUAAUACGGAGGGUGCAAGCGUUAUCCGGAUUCAUUGGGUUUAAAGGGUGCGCAGGCGGAUUAUUAAGUUAGUGGUGAAAUCCCGGGGCUCAACCUCGGAACUGCCAUUAAUACUGGUAAUCUGGAAUACGGUUGAAGUGGGCGGAAUGUAGCAUGUAGCGGUGAAAUGCAUAGAGAUGCUACAGAACACCGAUCGCGAAGGCAGCUCACUAAGCCGAUAUUGACGCUCAGGCACGAAAGCGUGGGGAGCGAACAGGAUUAGAUACCCUGGUAGUCCACGCCGUAAACGAUGAUAACUCGUUGUUGGCGACACACAGUCAGCGACUAAGCGAAAGCGAUAAGUUAUCCACCUGGGGAGUACGAUCGCAAGGUUGAAACUACGAAAUGAAGUGCGG
Molecule: ribosomal RNA, 410 nt
Filed under: uncultured bacterium
Lineage: Bacteria
Description: bacterial SSU rRNA
Rfam family: Bacterial small subunit ribosomal RNA
Source: RNAcentral